UACGUAGGUCCCGAGCGUUGUCCGGAUUUAUUGGGCGUAAAGCGAGCGCAGGUGGUUUAUUAAGUCUGGUGUAAAAGGCAGUGGCUCAACCAUUGUAUGCAUUGGAAACUAGUAGACUUGAGUGCAGGAGAGGAGAGUAGAAUUCCAUGUGUAGCGGUGAAAUGCGUAGAUAUAUGGAGGAACACCGGUGGCGAAAGCGGCUCUCUGGCCUGUAACUGACACUGAGGCUCGAAAGCGUGGGGAGCAAACAGG
Molecule: ribosomal RNA, 252 nt
Filed under: uncultured bacterium
Lineage: Bacteria
Description: partial 16S ribosomal RNA
Rfam family: Bacterial small subunit ribosomal RNA
Source: RNAcentral